Molecule: ribosomal RNA, 253 nt
Filed under: uncultured bacterium
Lineage: Bacteria
Description: partial 16S ribosomal RNA
Rfam family: Bacterial small subunit ribosomal RNA
Source: RNAcentral
UACGUAGGGUGCAAGCGUUGUCCGGAAUUAUUGGGCGUAAAGAGCUCGUAGGCGGUCUGUCGCGUCUGCUGUGGAAACUCAGGGCUUAACCCCGGGCCUGCAGUGGGUACGGGCAGACUAGAGUGCGGUAGGGGAGACUGGAAUUCCUGGUGUAGCGGUGAAAUGCGCAGAUAUCAGGAGGAACACCGGUGGCGAAGGCGGGUCUCUGGGCCGUAACUGACGCUGAGGAGCGAAAGCGUGGGGAGCGAACAGG